ACAAAGGCUCUUCUUAGAGUCACCCAAAAAUAUAUUUGAAUAUAUU
Molecule: non-coding RNA, 46 nt
Organism: Schistosoma rodhaini
Lineage: Eukaryota; Metazoa; Platyhelminthes; Trematoda; Strigeidida; Schistosomatidae
Source: Rfam